This 457-nucleotide unclassified non-coding RNA is filed under the name Hevea brasiliensis (rubber tree). The record is from RNAcentral. Lineage: Eukaryota; Viridiplantae; Streptophyta; Magnoliopsida; Malpighiales; Euphorbiaceae.
GUCCUGACAAAUUGGUGCUGGCUACAUAAUUCUUGUUUCUGCUUGAAUAUUCUAACUCGUACUGGUUCAAUGAUGGGCUGCGUUCUUGCUUCUUGGGAAUAUCUUGCUGUCCUCCUUGUUCAAAAUAUAUAAGCAUGCUACUUAAGAACUAUCUUUAAUGUCCCUAAAUGUGUAUGUGUGAAAAGAAUUGCUUUCUCUUAAGCCACAAAAGCUUGAGUUGAAUCAUGAAGCGAAGUACUCCAGGAAUUUAUUGUGAAUCUCAAGGUGUGACCACUAGCUUUAUGCUCCAUUAUGUACAAAAUAAUUAUAAUCUAAUAUAUGGAAUUCAAUAAGCUUGUGUAUGUGCUGCAGCAUAUAACCAAUGCAAAAGAAGGAAAUUUAUGGAGUGAGUUGCUAUUACUAUUUGUGUCAUUUAACUGUCUUGAUACCAUGUGAAAAGUAAUGGCCUUUGAUCUAG